CGUAGGGUGCGAGCGUUAAUCGGAAUUACUGGGGCGUAAAGCGUGCGCAGGCGGUUUUGUAAGACAGGCGUGAAAAUCCCCGAGCUCAACUUGGGAAUGGCGCUUGUGACUGCAAGGCUAGAGUAUGUCAGAGGGGGGUAGGAAUUCCACGUGUAGCAGUGAAAUGCGUAGAGAUGUGGAGGAAUACCGAUGGCGAAGGCAGCCCCUGGGACGUCACUGACGCUCAUGCACGAAAGCGUGGGGAGCAAACAGGAUU
This 256-nucleotide ribosomal RNA is filed under the name uncultured bacterium. RNAcentral's name for it is "partial 16S ribosomal RNA". It matches the Rfam family "Bacterial small subunit ribosomal RNA", at positions 526 to 779 of the family's 1533-position model. The record is from RNAcentral.